CAUUAUUCAAACUGAAUUAUUAACUCAAGAUUUUUUCUUAAGUUGCAGUGGCAAAUCAUUUUUGAACACUGAAACAACCAGGAUUUCAGAAAAAAAAUGUUGUGCUCAUGUAACUACUUUGUGGUCUGUCCCUUUUUUUGUUCUUCAGUGCCCCAGCUGUAGAUUGGAGAGCCAGACUUUCGUGGUGGUAAGAGGCAGUUAUACCAACAUGGAGCUGAGUAAGGAUGAUCAGUCACACUUCCAUCCUGCUCCAGGCACUCGUCACUAGUGGACAGCUAUGCAUAGCUGAAGGGAAGGGGCAGAGUAGUUUACCAACAAACCAGCAAGGUGGGCUGGCAUUACAG
Gallus gallus (chicken) is the source of this 344-nucleotide long non-coding RNA. The record is from Ensembl. NCBI's taxonomy places the organism in Eukaryota, Metazoa, Chordata, Aves, Galliformes, Phasianidae.